Molecule: ribosomal RNA, 77 nt
Filed under: uncultured bacterium
Lineage: Bacteria
Description: partial 16S ribosomal RNA
Source: RNAcentral
AUAAAAGAAGUUUACAACCCAUAGGGCAGUCAUCCUUCACGCUACUUGGCUGGUUCAGGCCUGCGCCCAUUGACCAA